RNAcentral lists this long non-coding RNA (586 nucleotides) under Brassica rapa (field mustard). RNAcentral describes it as "long non-coding RNA (BRAP_LNC000628)". Lineage: Eukaryota; Viridiplantae; Streptophyta; Magnoliopsida; Brassicales; Brassicaceae. The record is from RNAcentral.
GUCCAAAUAAAAAAUCACACAUGAAAUAAGUCAUGACUUCUAUUUUAAUAUAUAAGAUAGUUUUAAAAGAUUUUUUAUUUCAAAAUAUAAAUAGUUUUGAUAUUUCAAUUUAAUUUUUUUAUUUAUUGAAUAUUGUAUGACCAAUUCAACUAUGUAACUUUUUUAUAAUUGUUGAAUUGAUAUAUAGAUGAUUUUUUUUUUUUUUGUAACACUAUAUAUAGAUGAUAUAUUUCGUAAUUUUAUCUAAAACUAUUUAUAUUUGAAACAAAGAAAAAAAUAAUUGACCAUUUGGGUCGAGAAGUUGAGAGAAGUAAGACAAUUGUUACAGCAAACACAGCAAGCUCAAGUUCAAGUUGGGUUGGUUUGGUAGAUGGAUGGCCAACAGCGGUAAGUUUCGAACCCUGUUUACACGUCCCAUACGGCAUGUUCUCCUGAACACACGCACACAUACACACAAACAUUUUAAACAUACAAAAUCCAUUUAGUCACUAUGUACCAUUAGAAUACUAACCUUAAAAUCGGCUAUAUCGUCACAGCCACAAAAUGAAUGACCGUUUGCAACAUCUACUGCUUUUGGAACUCCUCC